RNAcentral lists this ribosomal RNA (492 nucleotides) under uncultured bacterium. RNAcentral's name for it is "partial 16S ribosomal RNA". It matches the Rfam family "Bacterial small subunit ribosomal RNA", at positions 28 to 507 of the family's 1533-position model. The record is from RNAcentral.
AUUGAACGCUGGCGGCAUGCUUUACACAUGCGAGUCGAACGGUAACAGGCCUUCGGGUGCUGACGAGUGGCGAACGGGUGAGUAAGGCAUCGGAACGUACCCAGAGCUUGGGGAUAACGCAGCGAAAGCUGUGCUAAGACCGCAUGUGAUCUGAGGAUGAAAGCGGGGGACCGAGCAGCAAUGUUUGGCCUCGCGCCUUUGGAGCGGCCGAUGUCGGAUUAGCUAGUUGGUGGGGUAAAGGCCUACCAAGGCGACGAUCCGUAGCUGGUCUGAGAGGACGACCGGCCGCCCUGGAACGGGGACACGGCCCAUGCGCCUGCGGGAGGCCGCAGUCUGGUAUGGUAGACAGCAGGCGCGAGCCUUGUCCAGUGAGGCCGAGUGCGAGAAGGAGGCCUUCGGGUCGUAAAGCGCUUUUGGCAGGAACGAACCGGUGUCCGCUAAUACCGGGCGCUAAUGACGGUACCUGCAGAAUAAGCACCGGCUAACUACGUG